This 460-nucleotide ribosomal RNA is filed under the name uncultured bacterium. Its description in RNAcentral is "partial 16S ribosomal RNA". It matches the Rfam family "Bacterial small subunit ribosomal RNA", at positions 338 to 795 of the family's 1533-position model. The record is from RNAcentral.
CCUACGGGGGGCAGCAGUGAGGAAUAUUGGUCAAUGGCCGGAAGGCUGAACCAGCCAUGCCGCGUGAAGGUCAGUGCCCUAUGGGCGUUAAACUUCUUUUGUGCGGGAGCAAUAAUGGUCACGUGUGGCCAGACGAGAGUACCGUACGAAUAAGCAUCGGCUAACUCCGUGCCAGCAGCCGCGGUAAUACGGGGGAUGCAAGCGUUAUCCGGAUUUAUUGGGUUUAAAGGGUGCGUAGGCUGUGAGGUAAGUCAGCGGUGAAAUGCCCCCGCUCAACGGGGUGAAGUGCCAUUGAUACUGCCUGGCUGGAAUGCGGAUGCCGUGGGAGGAAUGUGUGGUGUAGCGGUGAAAUGCAUAGAUAUCACACAGAACACCGAUUGCGAAGGCAUCUCACGAAUCCGCGAUUGACGCUAAUGCACGAAAGCGUGGGUAUCAAACAGGAUUAGAUACCCCAGUAGUC